Non-coding RNA from Macaca mulatta (Rhesus monkey), 513 nucleotides. The record is from RefSeq and is a predicted model, not a curated record. Lineage: Eukaryota; Metazoa; Chordata; Mammalia; Primates; Cercopithecidae.
UGAGGUGAGGAAAGCUAGCUAUUCACUGUUGGCACUCUUCUUGUAGACUCUUGUUAUGCACACUCAACUUCUGCUCAUACAAGAGUUCAUCGACGGCUGUGAACAUUGCCUAGGCUUUUUCAGUGGCAUUUUGAUCGGGUUCACCAUAUCCCCAGGAGAAGUCCGAGCUGCCUUCAGUAGAUAUCCCUGCGCCUGUAUAACUUGGAAAAGCAGAGAGUGAAUUCCCAGCGUCGGCUGAUGUAAAAGGUAACAAGCAUGAACGUGAGGACUGAUCCAAAGGGGCCACACAGAGGCUGCCAGUGGAUUAUGAUCCCCGAAGCAGAAGCUCCUGAAAGAGAUAUGAAUGUUGAAUUUUUGCAGCUGCCCCUUCGCCUUUUUGGUCCUAUUUUCACUUGCCACAGUGCUUUUGAGAGUGAUCAGUGUUGCAUGGAUCGGCCAUUGCUUCCUCUUUACUACCUAACAGUAUCCUAUUGCUGAUGGAAUCUCACUCUGUUGCCCAGGCUGGAGUGCAGU